UUAAUUAUCAGCCAAAGGUGGCAGACUUCGGCCUGUCAAAGUUACAGAACAGAGGAGAAAUCAACAAUUCGAGAUUGUCGAGGAUCAGAGGAACAAGAGGUUACAUGGCUCCAGAAUGGGUUUUGAACCUCCCCAUCACCUCCAAAGUAGACGUUUAUAGCUAUGGUAUUGUGGUUCUGGAGAUGGUUACCGGCCGAAGGAGUGCUUCAAUGGCCAUCCACGGUACAGAUGGCAUAGGGGAACGUCAGAGUUUGGUGGCAUGGGUGAAAGGGAAGAUGAAUGGAGCAACUGCGGUUGCUUCGUGGAUGAAAGAAAUCCUAGACCCGUCGAUGGAAGGCGAAUAUGACAUGGGUGAGAUGGAAAUUCUAGUAGCAGUGGCUUUGCAAUGUGUGGAAUUGGACAAGGAUGAAAGACCCACCAUGAGUCAGGUGGUCGAGACGCUUCUCCGCCCCGAACGUGGAAACAAUCAUCACUACUAAUAAAUUAAUGCCUCGUAUGGGGCCCAAGUGAGGUGGCUUUCUGUACCUGUUCCGCCCAUUUAUGAUAUUUGUAAAAAGACAGUAAUUUUAAGUAGAAUAAUUGAGAAGCCGAAUCUUUUGAUACAACAUACAAUAUAAUUAUAUUGAAGUAUCUUUUUAAAAGAUACAACUUGGUUAUAAAUUUUAAUGUCAAUCUUCUCGAAUGUUAAGUAAAAAAUUGUUUAAUUUUUUUAGAAAAUCUUUAAUAUUAUGUCACUAUAUUUAAAGUAUUUUUUAAGAGGUUAUCAAAAUUUGAUAUUAUUUUUUAAUUCAAAUUUAUAAUUAUAAUUUAUAAAUAGUUUUUUAAUUAUUAUAAAAUACCGGACUUCUUACUAGAUCAAUUAGAAUGGACGAUCAUCUAUUCCUCUAUAUCUCUUCAAUAUUGUUGCUAUCCUCCUCCCAACUUUAUAUAAAAUAAAAAUUUUACUAAUAAAUAUUACAUGGAAUUUUGUUCCCAAUAUCUCUCCUUCGUACUCUUAUCUUAUUAAACUCUUCUUUUACAAUAUUAAUUGAUAUAUUUUAGGUAUUUGUAUGUUAGUGAAUUAAUUUAAAUAUCGUAGGUUUUGACUUUUGGGACAACCAUUUUAGAGAGCUCAUACAUCACGCACUACCACCUCAACCUUCUUUGACAUUCAUUUAUUUAUUUUUAUUACCUUUCGAUCGGUGAUAUCAUUGCUUAGGAACAAUAAUUAUUGUGAAGGCAUUUUAUCUUUUUCGUUUACCCAAGAAUAAUCAUACUAAUAUAAACAAAUAAUUUUGAUCAUGCACAAAUAAAUAUAUUUUUAUAAAAUUUAGAUUUAAUUUUUUAGUAUAUGACAUAGAUUCUUCUUCUUCUCCUUUGCUAAAUCUCAUGUGGUUGGAUUUGGAGCAUCGACUGUACGUAUUAUUCAAUUGUGAAAGACAAAUUUCAUUGAGUUGAAAGACCAAUGGGCCAUGGACGCAAUGCUUGCUUCACUUAAUUUUUUAAAACUCGUUUUUAGUAGUACAAAUUUUUUUAUUAUAUAAAGUAUUGAUGUUAUUAUCUUUUUAUAUUAAUUUUAUUUUUCUUCCAUUUUUUAUAUUGAUUUUAUAAAAACAUAUCUUGGGAUAUUAUUUCACUAAAAACAUAUCAUAUGCAUAACCGUUUAACAUGCAAUUUUUUCAUACAUAAUCAAAGAUAGACUUUUUUUUCCUUUUACUUUUUUUCCUUCUUUUUUUUUUUUUGGUAUUUUGUCGUAAACAAACACGGUCUUAGAAUUUAAUCACAAACAAAGUAUUAUGUUACUUUUAAUCAAAUUUAAGGACUUGGCAUGCCUGUCAUGUACUUUAGACACAAAUGAAAAGUUUGAGGUCUCCUAUUGAAAAUUUAAUUCAUUCCAGUAUACCAUAUUAUUAUUAUUAUUAUUAUUUUGGUGAUCAUGGGUAUAAAUAUUACUAGGAAAAAAGGCAAAUUGACGUAAUAGAAGGCCUAACGGCUCAUGUUUUGUAUUUAUUUAAAUUAGUAUUUAUUAAUCAUUUAUUGAUGUGAUAAAAAAUUUGUAAUUCAAAAUUUGAUUUUAUCAAGUGAAGUACCCGAUAAACAGAAACGGAGGAACCUAAAGGGAGGGAAAAAAAAAAGGUGAAAUGAAGACACAUCCAAAAACCCUAAUGGCCUAUUGUCACACCCUCGAAAAUCACCUUAAAUUUUUCUUACGAGUGCGUGGUGCUAAGGACCCGUCCUUAGCCAACCUUCCCUUCCCAACGUUUAGAAGAACAGAAUAGAAUACAGAAAUCAAAGCAACAGGGACACACGAGGUUGCAGGAAAAUCCUUUCCCAACUUGUAUUAAUCACUCUUACAAGACAAAAUUGCUUCUUGAACUAGAGUACAAUGCACUUACCCAAGGCAUACAAGAAGGAAUCCUUUCCCCAACUCUCACCCUCUGUUUCAAGGCUGCAGGAGCCCUAUUUAAAUGACUCAUCUACAGUUACACAUUUGAAUUCCCUCAAUUCAAAUCUUGGAGCCAACUAGGUGGUCAUGCAACUGGCCAGAACUGCCCUCAACUGCUUGCACAACCACCCACUGUGGAUUCGGCUCCUUGCGACACGUGGCAUCGCGCAUUUCACCCGGACGGAAAUUCUCCCUUAUUCCACCCGAAUAUCUCAUAUCCGGAAUUCUGUCCGCUGACGUUCCACUCGGAUAUCUCACAUCCGGCGCCUGUCCGCCGCCGUUCCACUCGGAUAUCUUACAUCUGGCGCCUGUCCACCGUUGUUCCACCCGAAUAUCUCUCAUCCGACGCCCCAUGUCAUCGGAUAGGAGAGGAGGACGAUUCAACUUCCCCAGGUAGACAUGUCCGAAUCCUUUGGUAACGCCUAUUCGGGGUGCGCGCAUGACUUGUCCACGAUCCCCACACUUAGCUCCUGGGGUUUGAACCACAAAACCUCCAGGCUUUCCUUGCUUUCCACCUAGGCUCUCAUAGGUGCAAGACCUACCCAUGAGGCUUAUUUCUCCGGGUUUGAAUCAAGUGGAUAAGGGGUUGACACAUAUCCCCUAAAAAUUCUAGCUUUAGAAUUAUUGUCCUAGAAGAAAAAGACGAGCAAGUGUUUUCUCACAUCAUGGAGUUACUAUAUAACGUUAAAAAACUAAAGUAUUGUUUGUUUUCUUAAUUUUUUAUUUCGGUUUUUUUUAAACCUUUCAUUAACUUAUUAUUUACUUCUUAAAUUUUUUUAUUAAAUAAAAAAUUUUAAAUAUAUAAAAUUUUUAAAUAUUGAAAAUAAUUCAUUAAUUUUUCUUUACUUAUUUAAUAAAAAUAAAAUAUAAAAAAUGAACAAUUUAAUACUUAAUAUUAUUAAAUACUAUUUAAUUUUAAAUUUUAUUUAAAAUUAAGUUAAAAAGAAACACCAUUUAAAUGUCUUCAUUGUGUGUUGGACAUUAUCAACUCUACUCUUUUAUAAAAAAAUUUAUUUUAGGAAAUUUUAGUUUCCAAAUGAAGUAGGUUUAUAAACAUAUCAAUUGCCUUAAAUUUAAUUGAAAUAAAUAAACAAUAAAAAAACACUUGAAUUGAUUAAGGAACAAUUUUUUUAUGCCAAGGGAAGAUGGUGGUGAUAUAUUGAUUUGAGUAAGGAUUUCAUAAUUUCUCAAAAGAAAGAGAAAGAGGAAAAAGCAAGAUUUAUUAAAAGAUAGAUACAUUAGGAUAUCAUAUUCGAAUUUAGUAUUUUUGUUUUCUCUUCUUUAUAAAACUAAAUAAUAGAAAUCAAAUACUUUUACCAACUUCGCAUACUGCACCGUUUCGUUUUUCACUUCGUCUAAUUUUACCUUCAAUUCAUUUGUUUCCUAUUUUAUUUCUUGAAACAUGUAUUGACUAAAGCCUCUGUACCAAUGUUUCAGGACAUGGAGAGGUAGCCGUCCUCCUCCGGCCUCUCCUCCGGUCACAUAAGCUUCUCAACUAUCUGGCUCAUCGUGGGUCUUGAGUCCCUGUCUUCCUCCACACAUUCCAAGGCAACUCCAAUCAGAAUUUCCAUCCGGCGCAGGUCGCAUUCGCCUUGCAUCACAGGGUCCAGGAUGUCUUCAAUCCACGACCCCCUGGCACCAAUCCCAUUCAUUCGAUCCCUCACCCAUUUAAUCAACCCACGCUGCUCUGUCUCUCCUUGGGCAUCAGUAUCGGGGAUAGCAGUUGGGCUCUUCCCUGUCACCAUCUCCAAAACCACGAUUCCAUAGUUAUAAACGUCUACCUUGGAGGUUAUGGGAAGGUUGAAUACCCAUUCAGGAGCCAUGUAUCCUCUGGUUCCUCUGAUCCUCGAGAAACUUGAAUUGUCAAGCCCUCCUCUGUUUCGCAGUUUCGACAUCCCAAAAUCGGCCACUUUUGGCUGGUAAUUAGAGUCCAAGAGUAUGUUCUGAGGCUUGACGUCACAGUGCAGAACCCACUCCAAGCAUUCUUCGUGUAAAUAAGCUAGGCCUCUGGCCGUGCCAAGCGCUAUUUGGAACCUCUUCUCCCAAUCAAGAGUAUUGGAAGAUAGCUUUUGUGCCAAGGAUCCAUGUUCCAUGUACUCAUACACCAACAGCCGGUGCUUCCCCUCUAUGCAAUAUCCCCACGUCUCUAUUAAGUUCAUGUGAUUAAGCCUUCCAAUGGUGCUCACUUCUGCUAGAAAUUCUGCUUCUCCUUGAUUGGCUUCUUUGAGGCGCUUGAUUGCUGCCACUCGACGAUCAAGCAAUACACCUUUAUAUACCACUCCUCCACCUCCUCUUCCAAUCUCUUGGGUGAAACCUCGCGUGGCCUUCUUCAACUUUGCAUAGCUGAAUCUUUUAAACCCGUUUGCAACGAGGAUGUAGCCUUGCAUGGUCGAGACUGGAUCAUGGUGUACCCUAAAUAAGAAAAGCCAUACCAGCAAGACAAUUGCCCCCUCUAGAACUCCCAGUACGUAGGCAAACCAAAGCAAAAACUUCAAUGACCCAUUUUCAUGGCCCUUGCGAUAUGUUGUAUCUAGCUGUAUAUAACGAGUGUUGCCUGAACAAUUCAUGGUGAAUUCUUCAAGAGUGUUGGAAAUCAAGCCAGCAUCCUCUGUUUACUUCCCUAAUUAGUGUAAUGUACAGCCUUUAUUAUAAUUGAUUUAGGAGUAAUUCUAGCAAGGUAGUUUAUUCACUUUCCAUGUAAGAGUAGUUUAUUCACUUCCCAUGUAAGAGUAGUUUAUUCACUUCCCAUGUAAGAGUUUAUUCACUUUCCAUGUAAGGGAAAUUCCAUUCCGGAAUUGUCUCAUAUCUGUAGGCUAUUUAUUUAUGCUUUCAUUCAUUGUAAAGGGUGAGAUCACGGAAUGAAUUGAGGUGUUCCUCCAUAGUUUGUCUUCAAAUUCUUCAUAUUUUUCUUCAAAUUCUUCAAAGAUGAUCAUAUCUGGGAAAGAGACUAGCUUUAGGCAGUUUUAGAUACAUGGUUCCAGGAUAAUUUGGCGAACUGAAUCCAUUAAGCAAGAGGGUAUUUGGGUAACAAUCGUAAAGGUCGUCGCUAAAAUUUAGCAGGAAGGCCUUGCAUUUGCACAACUGUAAGCAUAGAUUUUCACACCUUUCGUAGGUGUAAUUGGGGUAGUGACCAUAGUCAUAGCCGUAGAGUUGAACAUGAGGGAGUGGGAAGAAGCCCACCUCAGUUUGGUUACAAGCGAUAUCAGUUUCUGGUGCACACCCAUAAGACUAGUCAGUUGAAUUUACAAUCUUGAAUCCAGGCAUGCAAGAGCAUCCUCUGCCAUAAGCAGGGGUGUAACUGCAGAGACUAUUGGGUUCGCAGAUGCCAUGAAUCUGGCAUGGUUGGGAGAUAGCCUGCCAUGAAACCGACCAGGUUCCUCUCGUUUCUUCUAGACUAUACAUUCUAAGAUUGCCAUCGAAAUCGAGGGCCAAUCUUCUCUGAGGCCCUGCACCAAAAUCCGCUGACCGAAAUUCCAAAUCAUCUGAUGCUCUAUAAUAACCCAAAGAAUCGAAUACUGCGAUUCGACUGUUGUUGUAUGUGCUCCUUCCAGCAUCCCAGGUCACCAGGCUUAGGUCUGGCCAAUAGAUGCUGGAAACCUCAGUACCAUUGAAGAGAAGGCGGAUGACGUUAUCACUGUCAAAAAAUAGCUUAUAAAAACCAGAAGAAUAGUUGCUUUGGCUUCUUGAGGAGAUAAGGCUGGUAUCUUUGGUCAGUAUCUGGUGAGGAAGAAGAGUAUCUGUGGGUGAGUCAAAGCUCUGCCAAAUCACCGUCUUCUCCCAAGCAUAUAGAACAAGAUUGCCGGUGUUAAGGAGCUGUAAUCUCGCAGAUGAGGUUGAAACUGUCACGCCCCAAGACCCACUCCAAGGGCGUGACGGUCAUUUCACACCUCAAACCCGAAGGCUUAAAGUAUAAUCUGACCCGAACAAUCAUAUUAUAACUAGAUGUUACCAAUUACCAAAUACCUGUUCAGAGUAGCAGAACAAAAUCUAAAUUCCUCAAAAUUCAAUUUCCAAAUAACUUCCAAAUAUCAAAUGAUCCAAAUGAACAUAACUAACAGUUAAACAAAAUCCAACAUAAAAUCCUAAGUCAAAUCUUAAUGAUGACCAUUCUUCAGCCUAGCCAUCACUCCUCACCCGAACUAAGAGUACCUGAAAAUUUUCAACAAUUGGGAAUGAGCUCACAGCCCAAUAAGGAAUAUUAAUGCAAUUCAUGGAUCAAAUAUUUUCAUUUCAAAUAGGAGAUAUCAAUUUUUUUUUUUCUCAUCAAAUAUCAGAGUUCCAAAAAUACCAAUAUAUUCAAAAUUCAACCAACCAAUUUCAUAUCAAAUUCAAACACUUUCACAUAAAAUUCAAUCAAAUUCAUUCAAGUUUCAUUACUCUGGUUAUCAAAUAUCAAAUGCCCAGUUAGGUGGGACUUUUCAAAUGGGUGGCUAGCCUCAAAUUGUUCCUGGUGGACGGAACCUAAACACNNNNNNNNNNNNNNNNNNNNNNNNNNNNNNNNNNNNNNNNNNNNNNNNNNNNNNNNNNNNNNNNNNNNNNNNNNNNNNNNNNNNNNNNNNNNNNNNNNNNCCGAACUAAGAGUACUGAAAAUUUUCACAAUUGGGAAUGAGCUCACAGCCCAAUAAGGAAUAUUAAUGCAAUUCAUGGAUCAAAUAUUUUCAUUUCAAAUAGGAGAUAUCAAUUUUUUUUUUUCUCAUCAAAUAUCAGAGUUCCAAAAAUACCAAUAUAUUCAAAAUUCAACCAACCAAUUUCAUAUCAAAUUCAAACACUUUCACAUAAAAUUCAAUCAAAUUCAUUCAAGUUUCAUUACUCUGGUUAUCAAAUAUCAAAUGCCCAGUUAGGUGGGACUUUUCAAAUGGGUGGCUAGCCUCAAAUUGUUCCUGGUGGACGGAACCAAACACUACUAGUACUAGUAACCUCUAACCAAACCCCUAGAGGCUGGGGUCCAAAUCAAUUACAUUCCCACCAUGAAAUGUAAAGGUCAACUAUUAUAUCCCGUUGAUAGGGCCGAAUAGUCAAUUAUUAUAUCCCGUUGACAAGGGUCAAAUAAACCAGAGUGAUGUUUUUGUUCAAGUUUUCAAAUUUACACAACAUAAUAUCUCCAUAUUUUGUGUCAUAAAUAAAACAAAAUAUUCCAACAUAACAUUUAGUGCAAAACAAUUUGAUCCAUGCAUGGUAACAAAAUAUCAUUUUCUUUUCCACAAUUCAAAAUAACAUAUAAGAUAAUUUAAUUUUAUAAAUAUUACAUUAACUUCCCUUACCUCAAAAGAAGUCCUUGAAAGCUUGGGAGAAGAAUAAUUCUGAAAAAAAAAAUAUAAUCUACUCUUCACCUAAUAUAACAUAAAAGAAACAAUUAUUACUAUUUAUUUAUAAUUUAACUAAUCUAUUCCUUAUUAAAAAAAAAUUAAAAAAUUCCCAAUUGGUUUUUAAUAUACCAUUACUAAUUUAAUUAAAUAAUACCUUUAUUUGGCUAUAAAAUUCUAUAUUUAUAUAUUUAUAUAUGGCUAAUUUUCUUUUUCUUUUUUUACCAAAAAUACCAUUUUUAUUUUUUUUUUAUUUAAAAAUUUAAAACUAAUUUUUUUUUUUUAAUUACCCAAUUCCAACCCAUCCACCUUGGGGUACACCAAACCAAAAAGCAAGUUUUUAUUUUUAUUUUUUAUUUUUUUUUCAUUCCCAACCAGGAUCCAUUAAUAUAUAUAUAUAUAUAUAUAUAUAAAAGGGGCUUCCUGGCACACGCACCUUUUUUUUUUUUUUUUAAUAAAAUUAACCCUAACCUAAAAUCAAAACCUUCCAAGAAAUUUUUUUUUUUUUCUAAUAAAACUUAAGAUCUCCCAAAUUCCAAUACUAAAAUCAAAAUAUUAAAUUUUCACUAUUUGAUAUUAAAACGAAUUAAAAAAAUAAUCUAACCCUAAUCUAGAUUUGGGGUUUUCCAAAAAAAUAUAUCUAAUGUGUUUGAAAUUAAUCAAUGAAUCUAAAAUAUUAAACUAGGGGUUAGAAUCUUACCUAUAGAGAUCUGUUCUUCAACCCUGAAAUCUGACUCCAAUCUUACGUUCUCUGGAAUUCUACGAACAGGAAAUCUAUUCAGAAAAAAAGGGAAAAAAAUAAAAUUUCUAAUUUAUACCUAGGGUAUUUAUUCGUAAAAUUACACUUUUACCCUUCUUCCACUUUAUUAAAUUAAUUAAUUAAUUAAUUUAAUUAUUAAUAACAAUUUCCUAAAUUACCCUUAAAAGAAAAUGCUUGGGCAUUACAUCCUCCCCUCCUUAACAAAAGUUUAGUCCUCUAAACUUGACAUACCUGAGUCUUGAAAUAAUUGAGGAUGUUUUUCUCUCAUCUCUUCUUCUAACUCCCAAGUGGCCUCUCGGAUACUAUGAUUGCUCCACUGGACCUUUACCAACUUGACAACAGCAUGUCGUAGUACCUUAUCCAUCAUAUCCACAAUUUGAACGGGUACCUCUUCAUAGGUCAAGUCCUCAAAAUUUUGAAUAGGCUCCAACUCCACAACAUGAGAAGGAUCAUAAAUAUACUUCCUUAGAGUCGAAACAUGAAACACAUUAUGAACCUUAGACAAGCUUGGGGGCAAGACUACUUUAUAUGCCAAAGUGCCUACUCUUUCUAAUAUUUCAAACGGACCCACAAAACGAGGACUAAGUUUUCCUUUUCUCCCAAAUCUCAUCACAUACUUCAUAGGUGAAACUUUCAAGAACACAUGAUCACCCACCUCAAACUCCAAAUCUCGCCUACGAUGAUCAGCAUAACUCUUAUGUCUACUUUGAGCUGCUUUUAAUAUUUCUUUAAUCAAAGCAACCUUUUCAACAGUCAACUGCACAAGUUCAGGCCCCAAAAGUUUCCUUUCUCCAACAUCAUUCCAAUAGAUAGGAGAUCGACAUUUCCUACCAUACAAUGCCUCAAAAGGUGUCAUCCCAAUGCUAGCUUGAAAACUAUUGUUAUAGGCAAACUCUACUAAAGGUAAAUGAUCAUCCCAAUUACCUUGCAGGUCCAAAAUACAAGCUCUCAACAAGUCUUCCAAAACCUUAAUUACCCUUUCUGAUUGGCCAUCAGUUUGAGGAUGGAAAGCAGUACUAAAACUCAACUUAGUGCCCAAAGUUUUUUGUAGACUAUGCCAGAAUCUAGAAGUGAAACGAGGAUCUCUAUCAGACACUAUAGAAACUGGUACUCCAUGCAUUCUCACAAUCUCCUUCACAUAAAGAGAAGCUAAACGAUCUAAAGAAAAGUUCACUUUCAUAGGUAAAAAGUGAGCAGACUUUGUCAACCGAUCAACAAUCACCCAAAUAGCAUUAUUACCCCCUAAGGUUCUUGGCAAUCCUAUCACAAAAUCCAUGGUAAUAUGCUCCCACUUCCACUCAGGAAUAGCAAGUGGCUGCAAAGACCCUGCUGGUCGUUGAUGUUCAGCCUUCACCUGUUGACACACUAAAUACUGAGCCACAAAUUGUGCAAUAUCACGCUUCAUACCUGACCACCAAUAGUUUUGCCUCAAAUCCUUGUACAUCUUUGUCCCUCCUGGGUGGAUUGCAAACUUGGAACAAUGAGCUUCCUCUAAAAGCUCCCUCUUUAAGUCUUCAUCAUUUGGGACACAAAGUCUAGUCCCAAAUCUCAAGAUCUCAUCAUCUGACAAAACAAAAUCAGGCUUACUGUCCCUCUUAACUUCCUCCAUAACUUGCACUAAUUGGGAAUCAUUCUUUUGUAGGGUCUUAAUUCUCCCAACUAAGUCUGGUUGUACUCUGAAAUUUGCUACAAGUGCUCCUAAGCCCAUAACUCGAAAGUGGACUUGUAAACUCCUCAACUCUUCAAGUAACUGCCUUUGACAACCUCUAAUAGCUGCUAGAGAACCAACUGACUUCCUACUCAAGGCAUCAGCUACAACAUUCGCCUUCCCAGGAUGAUACUGAAUAAUACAAUCAUAGUCCUUAAGUAGUUCUAUCCAUCUUCUCUGUCUUAUGUUCAACUCCUUUUGGGAAAAUAGAUACUUCAAACUCUUAUGAUCUGUGAAUAUCUCACAAGUUUCACCAAAAAGAAAAUGUCUCCAAAUCUUAAGUGCAAAAACCACAGCAGCUAACUCCAAAUCAUGAGUAGGGUAAUUCCUUUCAUAAGGCUUCAACUGUCUAGAAGCAUAAGCUACAACUCUCCCAUGUUGCAUAAGAACACAACCUAAACCCUGAUGAGAAGCAUUACUAUACACCACAAAUCCUCCUGAACCUGAAGGGAUAGUCAAAAUAGGAGCUGACACUAAUCUAUUCUUCAACUCUUGGAAGCUACAUUCACAAUCAUCAGACCACUCAAACUUAACUCCCUUCUGUGUCAACUUAGUUAAAGGUAGGGCAAUCUUAGAGAACCCUUCUAUAAACCGCCUAUAGUAACCAGCAAGUCCCAAGAAACUUCGAAUCUCAGUCACAGUACUAGGUCUUCUCCAAUUAGCUACAGCAUCUACCUUGCCAGGGUCAACUGAGAUGCCAUCAUUGCUUACCACAUGCCCAAGGAAAGAAAUUCAGUCUAACCAAAACUCACACUUCUUCAGUUUAGCAUACAACUGCUUAUCUCUGAGGAUAUGUAAUACAAUACUCAAAUGGCCCUCAUGCUCCUCUCUACUUCUUGAGUAUACCAAGAUGUCAUCUAUAAAAACCACCACAAAUUGAUCUAAAUAGGGUUUGAAUACCCUAUUCAUCAAGUCCAUAAAAGCAGCAGGUGCAUUAGUCAAACCAAAAGGCAUAACAAGAAACUCAUAGUGCCCAUACCUAGUUCGAAAAGCAGUCUUGGGUACAUCUUCCCCUCUAACCCUCAACUGGUGAUAACCCGAUCAAAGAUCUAUCUUAGAGAACACACAAGCACCUUGUAACUGAUCAAACAAAUCAUCAAUCCGAGGAAGGGGAUACUUGUUCCUCACUAUCACCUUAUUCAACUCCCUAUAGUCAAUGCAAAGUCUCAUUGAGCCAUCCUUCUUUUUCACAAAUAGAACAGGAGCUCCCCAAGGUGAAACACUAGGCCUGAUAAAACCCUUGUCUAAUAACUCUUGAAGCUGAACUUUCAACUCCUUAAGCUCCACAGGUGCCAUCCUGUAUGGGGCCUUAGACAUAGGACCUAUUCCUAGUACUAGAUCAAUGGUGAACUCCACCUCUCUCUCUGGUGGCAAGCCAGACAAAUCCUCUGGAAAGACAUCAGGAUACUCUCUUACUAUAGGUAUGUCUUCCAACUUCAAAUCACUUUCAUUACUCACCAUACUAGCCAAAAAUCCUUGGCAACCCUUCUUAAGCAAGCUACUAGCACGCAAGGCUGAGAUCAUACGCAGUGGUCUGUCCACAUGCUUCCCUUCAAAGCUAAACUUAGGCUGACCAGGAAUACUAAAUGUCACUCUUUUCUCAAAACAGUCAACAGAGGCAUGGUAGGAAGCUAACCAAUCCAUACCCAAAAUCACAUCAAAAUCCUGAAGGUCAAGGAGUACUAAAUCAACUGGCAUUUCCCUAUAACCAAUCAUCACAAUACAAUUUCUAAGCAUUCUACUGGCCACAACAGAAUCUCCCACAGGAGUAGCAACAAUCAAAUCAAAGUCCAUGCUAACAACAGGCAAACCCAACAAACCAGCAAAAGAUACUGAAACAAAAGAGUGUGUUGAUCCAGGAUCAAUCAGACUCUAGCAAAUAAGGUGUGGAUUCGGAGAGUACCUGUCACCACAUCAGAAGUGGCCUGAGCAUCUCGAUGAGUCAUAGCAAACACCCGUCCUUGGGCUUUGGGUUUCUGUUUUAUCUCCUUAUUUUCCUCUUUAAGCUUCCCAGUGAUGAACUUACCUAUUCCUCUGAUCAAAUGUCCUUGCNNNNNNNNNNNNNNNNNNNNNNNNNNNNNNNNNNNNNNNNNNNNNNNNNNNNNNNNNNNNNNNNNNNNNNNNNNNNNNNNNNNNNNNNNNNNNNNNNNNNGUGAUAACCCGAUCGAAGAUCUAUCUUAGAGAACACACAAGCACCUUGUAGCUAAUCAAACAAAUCAUCAAUCCGAGGAAGGGGAUACUUAUUCCUCACUGUCACCUUAUUCAACUCCCUAUAGUCAAUGCAAAGUCUCAUUGAGCCAUCCUUCUUUUUUACAAAUAGAACAGGAGCUCCCCAAGGUGAAACACUAGGCCUGAUAAAACCCUUGUCUAAUAACUCCUGAAGCUGAACUUUUAACUCCUUAAGCUCCAUAGGUGCCAUCCUGUAUGGGGCCUUAGACAUAGGACCUGUUCCUGGUACCAGAUCAAUGGUGAACUCCACCUCUCUCUCUGGUGGCAAGCCAGGCAAAUCCUCUGGAAAGACAUCAGGAUACUCCCUUACUAUGGGUAUGUCUUCCAACUUCAAAUCACUUCCAUUACUCACCACACUAGCCAAAAAUCCUUGGCAACCCUUCUUAAGCAAGCUACUAGCUCGCAAGGCUGAGAUCAUACGCAGUGGUCUGUCCACAUGCUUCCCUUCAAAGCUAUACUUAGGCUGACCAGGAAUACUAAACGUCACCCUUUUCUCAAAACAGUCAACAGAGGCAUGGUAGGAAGCUAACCAAUCCAUCCCCAAAAUCACAUCAAAAUCCUGAAGGUCAAGGAGUACUAAAUCAACUGGCAUUUCCCUAUAACCAAUCAUCACAAUACAAUUUCUAAGCAUUCUACUGGCCACAACAGAAUCUCCCACAGGAGUAGCAACAAUCAAAUCAAAGUCCAUGCUAACAACAGGCAAACCCAACAAACCAGCAAAAGAUACUGAAACAAAAGAGUGUGUUGAUCCAGGAUCAAUCAAGACUCUAGCAAAUAAGGUGUGGAUUCGGAGAGUACCUGUCACCACAUCAGAAGUGGCCUGAGCAUCUCGAUGAGUCAUAGCAAACACCCGUCCUUGGGCUUUGGGUUUCUGUUUAUCCUCCUUAUUUUCCUCUUUAAGCUUCCCAGUGAUGAACUUCCUAUUCUCUGAUCAAAUGUCCUUGCUUCCCACAACCAAAGCAAGCUCCAGUCUCUCUAUAGCAUGGCCUACCCCCAUGCUUCUUACCACAAGUAGGACAAGCCCCAUCUAAAUUCUGCGCUGCCUUCCCUUUAUUCUGAUUUCUUCCUGAUGUAGACCUUCGCUGUGCUUGAUUACCAUGAGCACCAUCACUCCUAUUUCGCUUCCUUUGCUGUUCCCUAUACUGAUGAAGCUCUUCAUUAUCUUUCUCUGUUAUAAGGGCUCUGUCAACAACCUCUGAAUAGACACCAAGCUUCAGAAUAGAUAUCUUGUUCUUCAAAUAAGGCUUCAAUCCAUCCUGAAACUUUAAUGCCUUUUCCUCCUCUAUAGCAAUCAACUGUGGGGAAAAACGUGAUAACUUUGUAAAUUUGGCCUCAUACUGAGCCACAGUCAUAUCCCUCUGUUCCAAACGAAUAAACUCUCCCACCUUCUGCCACCUAACACUGUCAGGGAAAUACUUCUUGUAGAAAGCCUCCCUAAAUUGUCUCCAUGUUAUGGGUCCCUGAUCCUCCAAAAGUCUCUUAGUCAUACGCCACCAAUGAUCUGUCUCUUUAUCUAACAUAAAAGCUGCAUAAGAGGCUUUUUGCUCCUCAGAGCAAUCUAUGACACCAAAGAAUUUCUCCAUCUUAAGGAUCCAAGCCUCUGCCUCUGUGGGAUCUGUAGCACCAGAAAAGUAAGGAGGACCCAAUUUCUUGAAGUCAUCAAAAGAGCUACCCCUAGAAGAUGAAGACUGUCCCUGAACAUUAGUCCCAACAGCUCGAGCUUGGCGUUCAACUAAACCAACUAGUGUCCCAAGAUACCUAUAGAUCCCUUCUGCACUCACGGGAGGCAAACCCUCAAUUGGAGGUACAUCGUCAUUAGCCUGACUGUUUUGUGAAGAAGUUGUUCUUCUUGGUGGCAUGAUGUCCUAAAAUAAUAAGGCAUAACUAAAUUAGUCACUAAAGAACCAAUUAGAAAAUUUUCCAAUUAAAGAAAGAAUUGGAAUUUAUACUAAAUGAAACUAAAACUUAAACAAAUGCGUUACUCAUCUAUCCCUAAUCUAAACCAAUUCAAAUUCCCAUCAAGAUCAAAACCUAGUGCUCUGAUACCACUCUGUCACGCCCCAAGACCCACUCCAAGGGCGUGACGGUCAUUUCACACCUCAAACCCGAAGGCUUAAAGUAUAAUCUGACCCGAACAAUCAUAUUGUAACUAGAUGUUACCAAUUACCAAAUACCUGUUCAGAGUAGCGGAACAAAAUCUAAAUUCCUCAAAAUUCAAUUUCCAAAUAACUUCCAAAUAUCAAAGAUCCAAAUGAACAUAACUAACAGUUAAACAAAAUCCAACAUAAAAUCCUAAGUCAAAUCCUAAUGAUGACCAUUCUUCAGCCUAGCCAUCACUCCUCACCCGAACUAAGAGUACCUGAAAAUUUUCAACAAUUGGGAAUGAGUUCACAGCCCAAUAAGGAAUAUUAAUGCAAUUCAUGGAUCAAAUAUUUUCAUUUCAAAUAGGAGAUAUCAAUUUUUUUUUUUCUCAUCAAAUAUCAGAGUUCCAAAAAUACCAAUAUAUUCAAAAUUCAACCAACCAAUUUCAUAUCAAAUUCAAACACUUUCACAUAAGAUUCAAUCAAAUUCAUUCAAGUUUCAUUACUCUGGUUAUCAAAUAUCAAAUGCCCAGUUAGGUGAGACUUUUCAAAUGGGUGGCUAGCUUCAAAUUGUUCCUGGUGGACGAAACCAAACACUACUAGUACUAGUAACCUCUAACCAAACCCCUAGAGGCUGGGGUCCAAAUCAAUUACAUUCCCACCAUGAAAUGUAAAGGUCAACUAUUAUAUCUCGUUGACAGGGCCGAAUAGUCAACUAUUAUAUCCCGUUGACAAGGGUCAAAUAAACCAGAGUGAUGUUUUUGUUCAAGUAUUCAAAUGUACACAACAUAAUAUCUCCAUAUUUUGUGUCAUAAAUAAAACAAAAUAUUCCAACAUAACAUUUAGUGCAAAACAAUUUGAUCCAUGCAUGGUAACAAAAUAUCAUUUUCUUUUCCACAAUUCAAAAUAACAUAUAAGAUAAUUUAAUUUUAUAAAUAUUACAUUAACUUCCCUUACCUCAAAAGAAGUCCUUGAAAGCUUGGGAGAAGAAUAAUUCUGAAAAAAAAAUAUAAUCUACUCUUCACCUAAUAUAACAUAAAAGAAACAAUUAUUACUAUUUAUUUAUAAUUUAACUAAUCUAUUCCUUAUUUAAAAAAAAACUAAUAAAUUCCCAAUUUGUUUCUAAUAACACAUUACUAAUUUAAUUAAAUUAUAACUUUAUUUCGCUAUAAAAUUAUAUAUAUAUAUAUAUAUAUAUAUUGCUAAAUCUCUUAUUCUAUUUAUUACAAAAAUACCAUUAUUACUAUUAUCUUAUUUAUAAAUCUAAAACUAAUUAUUAUUAUUUAAUUAACCAAUUCCAAACCACUCAACCUCGGGUACACCAAACCAAAAAGCAAGUUUUUAUUUUUAUUUUUUAUUUUUUUUCAUUGCCAAUCAUGAUCCAUUAAUAUAUAUAUAUAUAUAUAAAAGGGGCUUCCUGGUACACGCACCUUUUUUUUUUAAUAAAAUUAACCCUAACCUAAAAUCAAAACCUUCCAAGAAAUUUUUUUUUUUUUCUAAUAAAACUUAAGAUCUCCCAAAUUCCAAUACUAAAAUCAAAAUAUUAAAUUUUCACUAUUUGAUAUUAAAACGAAUUAAAAAAAUAAUCUAACCCUAAUCUAGAUUUUGGGUUUUCCAAAAAAAUAUAUCUAAUGUGUUUGAAAUUAAUCAAUGAAUCUAAAAUAUUAAACUAGGGGUUAGAAUUUUACCUAUAGAGAUCUGUUCUUCAACCCUGAAAUCUGACUCCAAUCUUACGUUCUCUGGAAUUCUACGAACAAGAACUAUAUUCAGAAAAGAAGGGAAAAAAAUAAAAUUUCUAAUUUAUACCUAGGGUAUUUAUUCGUAAAAUUACACUUUUACCCUUCUUCCACUUUAUUAAAUUAAUUAAUUAAUUAAUUUAAUUAUUAAUAACAAUUUCCUAAAUUACCCUUAAAAGAAAAUGCUUGGGCGUUACAGAAACGGUGUUGAUCAUCCAAACCAUGAUUUUACCAGCAUCAGUUAAGAUGAGAUUGCCAUUCCUCAACAAAGAAAGCUUGGAGCCUCUACCGUUGACCGGUUGGUCAUGGUUCGCCAUCCAAACUGUGGUUGCACCCCAUGAUUUUGUGAACCAUAUGGCGAAGCAGAAAGUGUUGUUGCCGACCUGAUAAAACCCAGCAGAGAAUAUACCAUUUGCUGAAAUGAGAACAUCAUUUGAUUUCUCCACGGAAAGAGACGAGCCUUCGCUCAGAGUAUCAUACGUUUCAGAUGAAGAUGGAUAGCAAGUUAACAGCAAAACCAAAACAAAGAAACCAACUGUCCUAUCCAUGAGUUUUGGGAUAUGGUUCAUGUGCUCUGUUUCCUGAUCAGAUAUUUGCAAUGGAGAAUGCAAGUGUAUGGUGCUACCAGAGUUUAGAAAAUCAAUUGACUCCUUGACUGGGGUGAAGGGGGAAAAUUCACAUUGCCCCUCGGGCCAAGUUUUGCUUGUGCCAUCGUGUUGGGUUUCUAAAAGCAUUUCAUGUCAACGUCAAAAUAUGGGAUGAAGACCCGCUAUUUUUAAUGGGAUCUAUUUUGAUUGGAUGACUUGGGCCAUUCAAAUUUUGUAGUUUCCACUUGGAACAACAAAAUUAUUAUGAGAUACGUCAUUUUGAAGAAAGAUUCUAGAAAUAAGAUGUUAAAUUGAUCUCUUUUCCAUGUAGCUGAACUCGUCAACUGUGAGUCUGAGCCAUAUGAUUUCUGUGCCAUACAGAAGCUUAUUGUUCCAAGUUGCCUGCUCAAAGGUUAACCUGUGAACAGUUUGGAUCUAAAUACAAUGAAUGUGAUGAAAUUUACUGAAACCGGGACUCUCUGACUGGCCUGUGGCCUUUAUGAGUUUUAUUUUAGAGGUGACGUCUGAUGUUGAUUGGCCCAAGCAGGGAAAGAUCAAAUGGGAAACGACGGUCACAACUUGUGGGGUGACUUUCCACUCACCAGGGAACACUUCAAAGAAAUUAUCCCUAAUUUUUAAACGCUUAAUUAUUGCGAUUCGAGGGGUAAAACAUUUUCUUUUAUUGAAUCAAGAUUGAAUUUAAAAUAAUAGUGUUGGUAUUACUCCCUCUCUUUUAUCCUUUUCUUAUUCUAUCUAAUAGUGGUUUUCUCGCCGCCUUUGUGGGCCAAGAUGAACUAAUGCUAAGAAUUUUAUUCAUCUGCUUUCUUUCAAGACUCACUUAUUGAAUAUAAUAUCUCAAUAAAUAUAGAACCAUAUUUUGAUUAUAUUGGUACAAUUAUUGAUACAACUGUUGGCUCCGCUCAAGUCAUUUUGGCGUGGACUUUUAGGGUAUGGUAGAGUGGAGCUUGUAUCACUACUAAUUAUUAAAAUGGUUAAAGGAUGUCUUUGUCAUUUUAGUGCACAUAUAAUUAUUAUUACAAUUGAGGGUCCUCCAAUAUCCCAUUUUUCCAAUUUUGACUUUUGAUCGGAAAAAAUUUAGUAUACAAGGAUAGGAAAAUAUGCUAAAUAAAAUAAUUUUCUCAUAUUUAGGUUUAUUAAAAAUUAUAAAAAAUAAUAUAAUAUAAUAUAAUUAAAAAGUUAUGUAUUUUUAAAUUAGAUAAUUUUUUUAUAAAACAAUUAAAAUAAGUUAAAUGAGUUUGAAAUUCCAUAUAAAAAUAAUUUAUUGAUUUAAAAUCUAUUUUUAUUUCCUUUAACUUUUUUUCAUAUAUUUUUUUUUUGAAUUUUUCAAAUACUUCAAACAGCUAUUUUUAAGUUUGUAUCUUUGUGAAACUCGUGUAAUCGUGACCCAUGAGAACCUUCAAGUCAUUUUGAUUAUAUUGGUACAAUUAUUGGUACAACUGUUGGCUCCGCUCAAGUCAUUUUGGCGUGGACUUUUAGGUUAUGGUUGAGUGGAGCUUGUAUCACUACUAAUUAUUAAUAUGGUUAAAGGAUGUCUUUGUCAUUUUAGUGCACAUAUAAUUAUUAUUACAAUUGAGGGUCCUCCAAUAUCCCAUAUUUCCAAUUUUGAUUUUUCAAGGUAUGAUCGGAAAAAAUUUAGUAUACAAGGAUAGGAAAAUAUGUUAAAUAAAAUAAUUUUCUUAUAUUUAGUUUUAUUAAAAAUUGUAAAAAAUAAUAUAAUAUAAUAUAAUUAAAAAGUUAUGUAUUUUUAAAUUAGGUAAUUUUUUUAUAAAACAAUUAAAAUAAGUUAAAUGAGUUUGAAAUUUUAUAGAAAAUUAAUUUAUUGAUUUAAAAUCUAUUUUUAUUUUCUUUAACUUUUUUUCAUAUAUAUUUUUUUUUUUGUAUUUUUCAAAUACUUCAAGUAGCACCCCAUUUCCUAUUUUCAAGUUUGUAUCUUCGUGAAACUCAUGUAAUCGUGACCCAUGAGAACCUUCAAGUCAUUUUGAUUAUAUUGGUACAAUUAUUGGUACAACUGUUGGCCCCGCUCAAGUCAUUUUGGCGCGGACUUUUAGGGUAUGGUUGAGUGGAGCUUGUAUAACUACUAAUUAUUAAUAUGGUUAAAGGGUGUCUUUGUCAUUUUAGUGCACAUAUAAUUAUUAUUACAAUUGAGGGUCCUCCAAUAUCCCAUUUUUCCAAUUUUGACUUUUCAAGGUCUGAUCGGAAAAAAUUUAGUAUACAGAGAAAAUAUGAUAAAUAAAAUAAUUUUUUCAUAUUUAGUUUUAUUAAAAAUUGUAAAAAAAUAUAUAUAUAAUUAAAAAGUUAUGUAUUUUUAAAUUAGGUAAUUUUUUUUUAUAAAACAAUUAAAAUAAGUUAUAUGAGUUUGAAACUCCAUAUAAAAAUAAUUUAUUAAUUUAAAAUUUAUUUUUAUUUCCUUUAACUUUUUUUCUUAUAUUUUCUUUCGUAUUUUCCAAAUAUUUCAAAUAGCACUCUAUUCCCAUUUUCAAGUUUGUAUCUUUGUGAAACUCAUUUAAUCGUGACCCAUGAGAACCUUCCCAUAACUACAAAGGAAGGUGGCAACAUAUCAUUGGGAGAGUGUCUUAAGAGCCAAAAUUUGACUAGCGGUUGAAAGGAAAAUGCACAAUUAUUGUAGUGGACAAAUACUUUUAACCUCAUUUGUGGAAGCUAGGUUGUUUUUACAAGGGAAACUUGUGUUCCAAGUUAGAUAUUUGAAAGUAAUAUUAUAUUCAAACCCCAAUUAGCUGGAAUAUGAGAUUUGACUAUUAAAAGAGAAAAUAUUAUUGUGUUUGUGCAUUCUAAGUUGGCUCUAUCUUCUAUGCCCAAAUUGCCCUUUUGUUUCUCUAGCUCAACAUCAUCCUAACCUCUUUGUCAACAGGACCACUAAAAUUAAGAAAAAACACUAAAUUUUGAAUUUUUAACUUCUAAAAAAAAAAACACCCGACCCGACCACUUAAUUUGAAUGUUUUCCUUUCUCAUUUGGAAGCUUUCUCUCAUCUUUCUUCAUUCAUGACAACCCAAAAUUUCUCCUAUUUCAAUUUAGAAACCCAAAUCUGAAACUCUAAAACGGUGUCAAAAUGCGUCUUUUGACGUGCCUCUGGCUCAGAUGCCUCAGCUAGGCGUUUGCCUUGAGCCCUAACCGUAGUUAACUCUCGUCUAGGAGCCACGAGAGUGCAAGAGAAUCCAAUAAAAAUGAAAUGGAGCUCGGGUGGAGAGUAGAUGCCCAAAAACUGAAACCUUAACCUCCAAAUGCGUCUUAGACUCGCAAAUUCAUAUCCAAGAUAGUUCUAUAAGACAGAAAUAGCACCAAACAUCUCUUUUAGACCACCGAAUCGACGAAGCCCUUGAAGAACCAAAGGAAACGGUGCAAAAAAUGAAGCGCGGGAAACUCUUAAAGUAUUGGGUCUUGACAAAAAGAAUAUUAAGAAAAAUAGGUUUUUAAUAUCUUAUUUUAGUAUAAAAAUAAAAAAAUAAGAUAUAAUUAAAAACUUGUAUAUUUUUAAAUUAUUUGAUAUUUAUAUAAAAAAUAAUAUAUUAACUUAAAUAAGUUUAAGAUAGCAUAUAAAAUAAUUUAUCAGCUUUAAAUUUUUUUUUUACUUUUACAUGAUACUUAAAAAGGAAUAUAAAUAGAGAAACAAUAUACUAAAUAAAAUAAUUUUAUCUAUAUAUAAAAAUAAUUUAUUAAUUUAAAAUCUAUUUUUAUUUCCUUUUAACCUUUCUUUCCUUUUUUUUUUUUUUUUUCCAUAUUUUCCAAAUACUUCACAUAGCACUCCACUCCCUAUUUUUUUUUUCUCUCUAAAUUUCAGAAACCAAACAUAAAAUACAAACACUGGUGUAAAGUUUGUAUCUUUGUGAAACUCAUGUAAUCUUGACCCAUAGGAACCUUCCCAUAUAAUUAAAGGAGAAUUACCCAAUAGGGUGGGCUUGGUAAAACAAUUACUAGAAAUGGUAGUCUCUUCUAAUAAUUCUUGGGGAGGAUUUUAAUAGGUUUAAUAUACCAAAACUGUCAUUUAACUAAAAUUUUUAAAAUUCAAAGUAUUUAAAGCACUUCACUUGAUUUGUCGAUACAAUUAUAGUACAUGAGUCUCAUAUUUAUUGUAAUUAUUAAUAUUCAAAUUUUAAAUCAAAAUUUUGGGUUUAACCUUUACAAUUAUAUAUAAUUUGUUAUUUAAAUUUACUAUUUAAAACAAAAAUACUUUUAAAAAGUAUUUUCAAAAUAUCAUUUAUUGUUUUUUUUACAUUUUUUAUUUUUAUUCUAAUUUUUAAUUUUAUUAAGAAAAAAAUAAGUUUUAUAAUUAUAUAAUAAAAAUGAUGAUUUUUUCAUAUAUAUAUAUGUAUAUAUUAUAAUUUUAAAUUGAUAAAUUAUGUUUUUGUUUUAAAUUCAAGGAAGAUAAAAUGUUUAAUUUUUCAUUCAGAUUCUUUAAAAAGAAUAAGAAAAUGAUAGAGAAUGUUUAAUAAUUUUUUAUUUUUAUAAUAAAAUAAUUUUAAAAAAUUUAUAUGAUUUUUUUUCCUUUGCAUAGUGUUUUUUUUUUUUUCAUAUAAAAUUUUUUUUCUCAGUACAUCGACUGGAUGAUGUUAAUAUAUUUGAUAUGUUGAAUAUUAAUAAGGUAUAAAAGGUGAUCAUCGAGAUUAUUACUUUUAUUAUAAAAUAUAGGUACAACAAAAAUAUGUUAUAAUUACCAUAUAAAUACACUUACAUUACAAUAAAACCUAAUUAGGAAAUUUUUGAAUUUUUUUAUAAAAAUGAUAAUUUGGUAAGAUCAUACCAUAUUUUAUAACAUACCUAUAUCAUAAAUAAUUUCUGAAACCAAAUGAAAUACUAAUUUGAAUUCACGAGACUUGUAGUUUAUAUAUAUAAAUGAUUAAAUAAUUUCAAAACACUAAAUAAAUGUUGUUAAUAUAUUGAUACGAUGCGUUAAUACCAACGGGGUAUGAAUAAACAUUUUUAAAAUUAUUCCUUUUGUAAUUAAAUAUAGAUAUGACAUAAAUACAUUAUACUUACAAUAUAAAUACGUGUUAUCAUUACAAUAUAUUACAAUAUAAUUUAAUUUAUUUUUAUUUAAUUUUUUCAAGUGUUAUAUUAUCCAAUGAAUAAUUGUGAGUUAUUCUAUUUAAUAGGUGUGUGUUAAUCAAUUGAAUAUUUACAUAUUAUUCAAUUGAUGAGUGCUCGUAAAAAAUAAUUAUUCAUUAUAUUAUGAUAACAAAGUUUUUAAUUAUAUGUUUUAUAUAUAAAACAAUAUAAUAAUUUUAGGAUAUGGUUUUUAUUUAUGAGAUAAUGAAAAUUAUAUUUUUUUAUAAGGUUCUUUAUAAAAUAUAGCAAAUUUUUAAAUAAUCAUUUGAUUGUUCAAAAGUUAAUAAUAAUUUUUUUAAGCUGAGAAAUAUAUUAUUGAUUACUUAUCAUCAUGCAUGAAUUCCACAACAAUCUCAAUUUAUUUAUAAAUAAUAUAAAAACAUAUUAUAGGUAAAAUUAUCUAUAACCGAGAGAGCCUUCAUAAUAAUUAGUUUUUUGGGCUACCCUGUUCGGUAAUUCUCCGUACAAUUAAUUUCCAGCAAAGGCAGGUGAGUGUUGAGGAGACAAAAUCUGACCCGCUGUUGAAGGGAAAAUGCACAAUUAUUGAAGUGGACGGAAACUUUUAACCUUAUCUGUGGAAGCUGGGUCGUUUUUCAAAACACGAGGCUGCAGCUUGGAACCUGGGGCAUUCUAGCUUUCAUCUUCCCAUGGGAAUUUCUACCCUCCGCACAAGUCAAGAGCAACUUUGUCUUUUCCAUAAAUAUUAGUAUUAUUUGUGUGUUCCUUACCUGAAUUUGAUUCAAGCUUAGCCCUACGGCCUUUUCAACUGAUCCAAUUUCAUAGAUCACAUGGAUGCGCCAGUUCUUUUGCUUCUUCUCACUCUGCUUCUAUCUUCUCCACUUCCAUCGUCCACCCUCGACAGUUUGAGUCAAGGCUCAUCCCUCUCAGUUGGGAAGCCUGAACAAGUUUUGAUUUCACAAAGUGGAAUCUUCUCAGCUGGCUUCUACCCCGUCGGUGAUAAUGCUUGUUGUCUUGCCAUAUGGUUCACCAAACCAUCCUACGACGGCAAACAUACCGCUGUUUGGAUGGCAAACCGAAACCAACCAGUUAAUGGGAAUUUCUCAAAGCUUUCCCUUCUAGAAAGUGGUGAUCUUAUCUUAACAGAUGCUGGGCGGUUCAUAGUUUGGACCAUAAAGAGGGUUGGGAUUUCUCCGGUGCAAUUACACCUCUUCAACACUGGUAACCUUGUGCUGCGUACCUCGGAUGGUGUUAUUCAAUGGCAAAGUUUCGAUUCACCAACAGAUACCCUUCUCCCUCACCAACCACUCACCAGAAAUACGAGACUCGUCUCUUCAAGAACCAAAACCAACUUUUUCUCAGGGUUUUAUAAGCUCUAUUUUGACAACAAUAACGUCCUCAGUCUUGUCUUCGAUGGGCGGGAUGCUUCAAGCAUUUACUGGCCCCCAUCGUGGCUUGUAAGCUGGCAGGCGGGAAGAUCGGCAUACAACAGCAGCAGAACUGCAUUACUAGAUUACUUUGGCUAUUUUUCUUCAACCGACGAUUUUAAGUUUCAGUCCUCGGAUUUUGGUGAGAGAGUCCAAAGAAGAUUGACCCUGGAUAUUGAUGGCAACUUACGAUUAUACAGUUUUGAGGAAGGGAGAAAUAAGUGGGUUGUUACUUGGCAAGCCAUCACGCUACAAUGCAACAUUCAUGGAAUAUGCGGACCCAACAGUAUUUGUACCUAUGUGCCUGGUUCUGGGAGUGGAAGGAGAUGCUCUUGCGUACCUGGAUAUGAGAUGAAAAAUCGCACUGACCGAACUUAUGGAUGCAUACCAAAAUUCAAUCUUUCUUGCGACUCACAGAAGGUUGGUUUCCUCCCACUCCCACACGUUGAGUUCUACGGCUAUGAUUAUGGCUAUUACCUCAAUUACACCUUACAGAUGUGUGAAAAACUGUGCUUGAAAAUAUGUGGCUGCAUAGGAUAUCAAUACAGCUAUAAUUCGGAUGUUUAUAAAUGUUGUCCUAAGCGGCUGUUUCUCAACGGAUGCCGCUCGCCUAGUUUUGGAGGACAUACAUAUCUAAAAUUGCCUAAAGCUAGUCUUCUUUCCUAUGAAAAACCAGUUGAGGAAUUCAUGUUAGAUUGCUCAGGCAACCGCUCAGAGCAGCUAGUAAGAUCUUAUGCAAAAGCCCGCGAAAAUGAAGUGUUAAAGUUCAUCCUCUGGUUUACGUGCGCAAUUGGAGCAGUUGAGAUGAUUUGCAUCAGUAUGGUGUGGUGUUUCUUGAUGAAGGCCCAGCAAAACACCAGUACAGAUCCGCCAGGCUACAUUUUAGCUGCCACGGGAUUCAGAAAAUUCACCUAUAUUGAGCUGAAGAAAGCAACACGGGGUUUCAGUGAGGAGAUUGGCAGAGGAGGGGGUGGGGUUGUAUAUAAAGGUGUCUUAUCAGACCACCGAGUGGCAGCCAUCAAGCAGCUCAGUGGAGCUAACCAAGGAGAAUCUGAAUUCUUGGCAGAAGUAAGUACCAUUGGGAGGCUUAACCACAUGAACUUGAUAGAGAUGUGGGGUUAUUGCUUUGAGGGGAAGCACAGGCUCUUGGUUUAUGAAUACAUGGAGCAUGGAUCACUAGCACAAAACCUCACUUCCAAUACACUUGAUUGGCAGAAGAGGUUCGAUAUUGCGGUGGGCACAGCAAAAGGUCUGGCUUAUUUACACGAAGAGUGCUUGGAGUGGGUUAUACACUGCGAUGUGAAGCCUCAAAACAUACUCCUAGACUCUAAUUAUCAGCCAAAGGUGGCAGACUUCGGCCUGUCAAAGUUACAGAACAGAGGAGGAAUCAACAAUUCGAGAUUGUCGAGGAUCAGAGGAACGAGAGGUUACAUGGCUCCAGAAUGGGUUUUGAACCUCCCCAUCACCUCCAAAGUAGACGUUUAUAGCUAUGGUAUUGUGGUUCUGGAGAUGAUUACCGGCCUAAGAAGUGUUGCAAAUGCCAUCCACGGUACAGAUGGCAUAGGGGAACGUCAGAGUUUGGUGGCAUGGGUGAAAGGGAAGAUGAAUAGUGCAAC
Molecule: long non-coding RNA, 24913 nt
Filed under: Vitis vinifera (wine grape)
Lineage: Eukaryota; Viridiplantae; Streptophyta; Magnoliopsida; Vitales; Vitaceae
Description: long non-coding RNA (VVIN_LNC006006)
Source: RNAcentral